This 439-nucleotide ribosomal RNA is filed under the name uncultured bacterium. RNAcentral describes it as "partial 16S ribosomal RNA". It matches the Rfam family "Bacterial small subunit ribosomal RNA", at positions 339 to 795 of the family's 1533-position model. The record is from RNAcentral.
CUACGGGCUGCUGCAGUGGGGAAUAUUGGACAAUGGGCGAAAGCCUGAUCCAGCAAUGCCGCGUGAGUGAUGAAGGCCCUAGGGUUGUAAAGCUCUUUUACCCGGGAAGAUAAUGACUGUACCGGGAGAAUAAGCCCCGGCUAACUCCGUGCCAGCAGCCGCGGUAAUACGGAGGGGGCUAGCGUUGUUCGGAAUUACUGGGCGUAAAGCGCACGUAGGCGGCUUUGUAAGUUAGAGGUGAAAGCCCGGGGCUCAACCCCGGAAUUGCCUUUAAGACUGCAUCGCUUGAACACGGGAGAGGUGAGUGGAAUUCCGAGUGUAGAGGUGAAAUUCGUAGAUAUUCGGAAGAACACCAGUGGCGAAGGCGGCUCACUGGACCGUUGUUGACGCUGAGGUGCGAAAGCGUGGGGAGCAAACAGGAUUAGAUACCCCCGUAGUC